UCGGGUCCGGUUCCCGACCUUCGAGCCAUUCGAAGGGUCGAUCCGGCGCCC
This 51-nucleotide non-coding RNA is filed under the name unclassified sequences. RNAcentral's name for it is "L31-Actinobacteria ribosomal protein leader". It matches the Rfam family "L31-Actinobacteria ribosomal protein leader". The record is from RNAcentral.